Long non-coding RNA from Hyla sarda, 604 nucleotides. RefSeq lists it as uncharacterized. NCBI's taxonomy places the organism in Eukaryota, Metazoa, Chordata, Amphibia, Anura, Hylidae. The transcript is spliced from 4 exons. The record is from RefSeq and is a predicted model, not a curated record.
CUGGCUGCCUACAAGACAAAGUGAUAGGACAGGGAGUCAAUGGCUCUCUGUUCCAUUAGUUUUAACUGAAGAGAGGUCUCUUUUCUCCCCCAGGAAACUCCUUUCUCUUGUGGAUAGAAUGAGUAUGUGUUUUAUGAAAGUAGUCUAUCUGAGGAUGUAAAGCUGCAGUGAUGACACAACCAUAGACAUCCGGUGGGCAAUUUAGAUAAACUGUAAUCACAGAUCAUAGCUCUGCACUAAUGGAGAUAAGAAACAAGCAGUCAGAAUAGGAGUAAAGUACAUAGCAGAUUUUUUCCAGAUUGCAAUGCGGCCAAGACCUGACACACUAGUCAGCUGAUGAUAGGGAGCCUGUCUGCUUCAAUGGGUGGAGCGAUCGCUUGGUGGGAGAGAGAUCAACCUGCAGCUAAUGCAACAGCUCAGAAGAAAAAAAGAGAAAUCAGGAGGCACUCACGUUCGGAUGGUGGAUCACAGCUUCUUUAUUGUGGAUGCGGCAGUCUGCUGACAGCGGCAUGGGACGCCGGAGCGGUGGAUGUAACACUGAGUGACAAUUGUUUCACGCCCCUCCGGGCGUUUCUUCAGACUAACCCGUCUCUGGAUCUUCACA